Long non-coding RNA from Bradysia coprophila, 203 nucleotides. NCBI's taxonomy places the organism in Eukaryota, Metazoa, Arthropoda, Insecta, Diptera, Sciaridae. The record is from RefSeq and is a predicted model, not a curated record.
AGUAAUUAUACCUAGAGAGGAAAUUCGCACUACGAAAAGCGGUCCCGACAUCAAUGUGUAUGAGAUACAUUUACGUAAUGAUUUACGUAGAGCUUCUACCAAUACACUCACAUUUGAGAUUUCUGUCAAAAUAUUUCUUGACGUUGUUCAUCGAAACAGUCUUAUGCGUUGAAUCUGCAGAGCAAUUCGUUGAAGAAUUUUUU